AUUUAUUUUAUAAAUGAUAUAUUUUUAAGUAAUUAGGCAAAAUAAUUAUAUUCACCUGUUUAACAAAAACAUGUCUUUUUGAUUUUAAUAUAAAGUCAGUUCUGCUCAAUGAGGAAUUAAAUAGCUGCAGUAUAUUGACUGUACAAAGGUAGCAUAAUCAUUUGUCUUUUAAUUGAAGGCUGGAAUGAAUGAAUUAAUGAAAUAUAAACUGUCUCAAUAAUAUAAAAUAAAUUUAAAUUUUAAGUUAAAAUGCUUAAUUUAAUUUAAGGGACGAUAAGACCCUAUAGAAUUUUAUAUAUUAAAAAUUUUUUUAAAUUAAUAAUAUAUUUGGUUGGGAGGAUUUUUAAAUUUAAUUAACUUUAAAAUUUUAAAAAUAUUGAUUAAUAGAAUUUAAAUUGAAAUAUAUUUAUUAUAAUAAUUAGAAUAAAUUACCUUAGGGAUAACAGCGUAAUAUUUUUGGAAAGAUCAAAUUGAAAAAAUUGUUUGCGACCUCGAUGUUGAAUUAAAAUGAAUUAUAAAUGUAGGUGUUUAUAAAUUUAGUCUGUUCGACUAUUGAAAUUUUACAUGAUUUGAGUUCAGAUCGACGUGAGUCAGAUUGGUUUCUAUCUUUAAAAAAAUUUAAAAUUUUUGUACGAAAGGACU
RNAcentral lists this ribosomal RNA (642 nucleotides) under Osmia excavata. RNAcentral describes it as "partial 16S ribosomal RNA". The stretch from base 439 to 597 matches the Rfam family "Bacterial large subunit ribosomal RNA", at positions 2473 to 2632 of the family's 2925-position model. Lineage: Eukaryota; Metazoa; Arthropoda; Insecta; Hymenoptera; Megachilidae. The record is from RNAcentral.